UGAGGAAUAUUGGGCAAUGCCCGCAAGGGUGACCCAGCAACGCCGCGUGGAGGAUGAAUGUCGUAAGAUUGUAAACUCCUGUUAGAGGGGAAGAAUAGUACCGGUUGGACCGGUAUAUGACUGUACCCUCAGAGAAAGCCCCGGCUAACUACGUGCCAGCAGCCGCGGUAAUACGUAGGGGGCAAGCGUUGUCCGGAUUUACUGGGUGUAAAGGGCGCGCAGGCGGGAUAAAAAGUCAGUGGUGAAAUCCUACAGCUUAACUGUAGAACUGCCUUUGAUACUUUUAUUCUUGAGUUCGGGAGAGAGAGACGGAAUUCCAGGUGUAGUGGUGAAAUACGUAGAUAUCUGGAAGAACACCAGCUGCGAAGGCGGUCUAUUGGUCCGACACUGACGCUGAGGCGCGAAAGCGUGGGGAGCAAAC
Molecule: ribosomal RNA, 421 nt
Filed under: uncultured bacterium
Lineage: Bacteria
Description: bacterial SSU rRNA
Rfam family: Bacterial small subunit ribosomal RNA
Source: RNAcentral